This is a long non-coding RNA of Drosophila persimilis, 195 nucleotides long. RefSeq lists it as uncharacterized. The record is from RefSeq and is a predicted model, not a curated record. NCBI's taxonomy places the organism in Eukaryota, Metazoa, Arthropoda, Insecta, Diptera, Drosophilidae. The transcript is spliced from 2 exons.
CAAGCUUAGGAACAAAAUGACUGUUAAAUCCUUAAACUCAAUAUUAAAUAUAAGAUAUGGAUUGCGCCGUCAUGGCAUAUGUUGCCACAACUACCAAUUACCGGAGAAAUAUUUAAAUUUAAUACGUUCCAGCGAUAAAUAUACCGAUUCGAGUAAUAGCGAGUUGGAUAAAAUAAUAACACAAUUAGAAAUGUG